Molecule: long non-coding RNA, 2345 nt
Organism: Mustela erminea (ermine)
Lineage: Eukaryota; Metazoa; Chordata; Mammalia; Carnivora; Mustelidae
Exons: 3
Source: RefSeq, a predicted model, not a curated record
UCGUUGACCAGAGGUGAUCGCGAUAGGAAACGUUUCCAAGCUCAAGAAGCUCAGAUACCAGGACCGGAGGCAGAAGAAUCUGGAAAAAGCGUGACCGGGAGGAAAGAGGAAAAUCCAGGACGAGUGAAACCACAGAAGAGAAAGGAGGAAGGGUGAAAAGGGGGAGUGGUCAGUAGUGCUAAGUGCCAAACAGAAAGAGGAAGCAAGAUAAGAGCCCAGAGCGGCCAUUAGUUUGAGCAACAAAAGAAUCAUGGCUGACCCCAGUGAGUCUGAUCUGAGUGGAAAGUUGGGGGUGGGAGCCGGAAUCCCACUGGUUAAGAAGUGUGUUCUCAGGGACUGCUCUUGGAAGAUGGCGGGAGGCUUAGGGUCGAAGAAGGUGUGUUUUAAGGGGGGAGACCCUUGAAUGUUUUUAUCCCCAGAGCUGGAACGUUCCAAAGGAAGAAGUUGUGGAAGAGAGAACUGGAUCCACAGAGACACCAUGGGACCCCUGGGAAAGCCUGGGGGAGGGCUCGGCGCGCUGGCGACCGUCCAGAGCCAAGGAGAGGAGCGUCAGAAGAAACCAGCCCUGCCGACACCUUGAUCUUGGACCUGCAGGCUCCAGAGCUGUAAGAUGCAGACUUGGAGUCCUGAAGCCAGCUGGUGUUCUUCCCUCCCGGGAGCACUCCUUGACUCCUGCCAACAGUGGCCUGCGUGCGGACUGUCCUACGCUCAGCUUUGGGCCAAUGCUGAGAAUUCAUCCUCCAUACAUCAUGGGCUCACAACAGACCCACUCGUUCCUUCAACUGCUUUGAGCCUAUUUCAGAGUCCAAGGUCCAGCUGGGUGCGCGAAGAUGAAGCGAGUGGGUCCCUGUCCACUUCCCACCAUUAGCGUCGUCAAUGGUCUAGAGUAGGUCCGGCCACCUUUUCUCUAUAAGCACUCCUUAGGUGACAUGUAUCCAGCUCCAAUUUUUGAAAGGAUUUUAUCCAUCAGAUUAAAUAAGAUGCAUCUUUUGUUCUGUUGAACUCCAGAACUGAGUUAUCUGACCUGACGGCCUGGGUCAGAGACAGGACACGGAGGAUCACCUUCAUGUCUUACCCCUUCAGUGGUAUUACCUCUUCAGCGGAAGUUUUGGUCCUUGACACCAGAUUCCCAGGGAUAAGAGGACCACUCUUUGUUUAAGGACCUCUAAGAGACUGAACCUUUGUGGAAGCUUUUAAAAUUUAUUCGCAGGAAGUAAUAAUUCAUUUCCUCAUUUUUUAUUAUUCAAAGCAAAUAAAAUUGAAUGUGUAAUGGGAGCCAGUGGUGUUUGACAAACAACACAUGACAAGAGAGAUAGUAAACUGAUUUGUCUAAUAAUACAAUAAAUGGUUUGAGUUACAUUCUGUGUCUUCUUCAAAAGCAACACAACUAUUUCUAAGAGGGUCUUUGAACUAUUGGAAAGGGCCAUCAAAUUCUCAUCAAUAUGUUUGGGAUUCAAGGACCCCAGUUAGGGAAUCUCUGUAGUGUAAUUAAAAUACAGAAAUAAAAUGCCCCCAACAGAAAACAAAAAACAAAACAAACAAACAAACAAAAAACCCCUACAGUUAUGUUGCUCAAACUCUCCAAUCAACACCAGAAUCAGUCAUCUGUGCUUCCUUGCCACCCUCCAUGAAUGUGAAUAUUUGAGAAGCAUGGUUAGAGUCCUAAAGAUUAUCCUUGUCAAGUGUGAGUGCCUUUGGAAAAGCACCAAUCUGGGGAAGAUUUCUCAAACUGGAUUGGGUAGUACCAUGGGUCAUCGUGCCAUAUCAGAAUAUUCCAUUUGAAGAUGGUUUAGAAAAGCAUUUAUUCUUAAUGCACAAUCUCUUAUUUGAAACGAGCAGAAAAAAUAUUGUUUUCAUAGCACAAAAAUGCCAAAUAAACCUUUACAAAAUUGUCUUGGUUGUAAGAGUGUGAAGAAGUGAGUCUUCACCUUUGGGACAUAAUCCCGACAGACUGGACUAUGGGAAUCCCAGCAGAGAAAAGGUAUGAGAUUUUUUUUUAUCUCUAUAGAAAGAGGACGGACGUUAAAAAAAAAUAAGCUGAACAAAAUGGAUUUAAGGCAUGACAAAGUUUCCCCCACAGAAUAUUCAAGAAUCACUUUAAGAAAAAAGAGUAGCCUGUCUUACUGGUAAGAUGAAGCCAGAGAAGAUCCAACUGUGCACUCCAGAAGAGGGCAAUGUCAAAGCCCAAACAUUCCCUGAGAGUAGAACAAGCCAUUGCAACUGUCAUAGCUUCUCAAUUUGUCAGCAACGUUGAAGCCACUGAACUCUUUUGAGAGCAGAGGAUUUCAUGGACUAGAGGAAAAAAUGCUUUUCAAGUAAAGGACAUUUCCAGCUUCUUCCUUGAA